AGUUGCCUGGCUCUCGGUACUGCUCGACUCUAGUCGAUGGUAGCCCGAUCUCGAGUGGGAUCAUCGCCUUCGUCUCAUAGGCCAAACUGAAAGGAGAUUCUCCGAUUGGGACAUGGGAUGUCGUUCGGUACGUCCAUAGGACGGAAUUCAAUUCUUCGAUCCAGAGGCCUUUGGCUUCAUUCAGUCGGAUCUUUAGUCCAUGCAG
Molecule: long non-coding RNA, 205 nt
Filed under: Elaeis guineensis (African oil palm)
Lineage: Eukaryota; Viridiplantae; Streptophyta; Magnoliopsida; Arecales; Arecaceae
Description: long non-coding RNA (EGUI_LNC077196)
Source: RNAcentral